CCUACGGGAGGCAGCAGUGAGGAAUAUUGGUCAAUGGGCGCGAGCCUGAACCAGCCAAGUCGCGUGAGGGAAGACGGUCCUAUGGAUUGUAAACCUCUUUUGUCGGGGAGCAAAAGACGCCACGCGUGGCGUUCCGAGAGUACCCGAAGAAAAAGCAUCGGCUAACUCCGUGCCCGCCGCCGCGGUAAUACGGAGGAUGCGAGCUUUAUCCGGAUUUAUUGGGUUUAAAGGGUGCGCAGGCGGAAGAUCAAGUCAGCGGUAAAAUUGAGGGGCUCAACCUCUUCGAGCCGUUGAAACGGGUUGGCUUGAGUGAGUGAGAAGUAUGCGGAAUGCGUGGUGUAGCGGUGAAAUGCAUAGAUAUCGCGAAGAACUCCGAUUGCGAAGGCAGCAUACCGGCGCUCAACUGACGCUCAUGCACGAAAGUGUGGGUAUCGAACAGGAUUAGAUACCCGAGUAGUC
Molecule: ribosomal RNA, 459 nt
Filed under: uncultured bacterium
Lineage: Bacteria
Description: partial 16S ribosomal RNA
Rfam family: Bacterial small subunit ribosomal RNA
Source: RNAcentral